RNAcentral lists this non-coding RNA (47 nucleotides) under Pseudescherichia vulneris (CDC Enteric Group 1). Its description in RNAcentral is "Escherichia vulneris Guanidine-II sequence". It matches the Rfam family "Guanidine-II riboswitch aptamer (mini-ykkC)". Rfam says of the family: Simpler in structure and has fewer highly conserved nucleotide positions than the ykkC-yxkD leader. RNAcentral also lists the same sequence under 1 other name. The record is from RNAcentral. Lineage: Bacteria; Pseudomonadati; Pseudomonadota; Gammaproteobacteria; Enterobacterales; Enterobacteriaceae.
CUUGCGGGACGACCCACAAGCGCCAUGUUUCACCGGGGACGGCCCCA